AGGGGUAUAGCUCAGUUGGUAGAGCGGCGGUCUCCAAAACCGCAGGCCGGGGGUUCAAGUCCCUCUGCCCCUGCCA
RNAcentral lists this transfer RNA (76 nucleotides) under Liberibacter crescens BT-1. Its description in RNAcentral is "tRNA-Trp (CCA) (tRNA-Trp-CCA-1-1)". It matches the Rfam family "tRNA". From Rfam's summary of the family: Transfer RNA (tRNA) molecules are approximately 80 nucleotides in length. Their secondary structure includes four short double-helical elements and three loops (D, anti-codon, and T loops). Further hydrogen bonds mediate the characteristic L-shaped molecular structure. tRNAs have two regions of fundamental functional importance: the anti-codon, which is responsible for specific mRNA codon recognition, and the 3' end, to which the tRNAs corresponding amino acid is attached (by aminoacyl-tRNA synthetases). tRNAs cope with the degeneracy of the genetic code in two manners: having more than one tRNA (with a specific anti-codon) for a particular amino acid; and 'wobble' base-pairing, i.e. permitting non-standard base-pairing at the 3rd anti-codon position. RNAcentral also lists the same sequence under 1 other name. The record is from RNAcentral. Lineage: Bacteria; Pseudomonadati; Pseudomonadota; Alphaproteobacteria; Hyphomicrobiales; Rhizobiaceae.